CCAGAACUGGUCAGAACAACACUGAAACCUGCUGCUGUUGCCCCUACUUCCGCCAUCAGAUGCACCCACUAGGCCUCAUCAAGGUAGGAAAGGAUCCACCAGAUCCCUUCUGCAACCCAGCUUGGGCCAUCCAGUCACCAACGUUGCCCAAGGUCACACUGAAAAGUUGUUACAGUCAUACCUCAGGUUACAGAUGCUUCAGGUUGCGUUUUUUCAGUUUACGGAUGCUCCGAAACCCGGAAGUACCGGAACGGAUUACUUCCGAGUUUCGCAGGUCACACAUGCGCAGAAGCGCCAAAUCACAACCCAUGUGUGCGCAGAAGUGCUGCUGCGGGUUGCGAACGUUCAUCCCGCACAGAUCACAUUCGCAAUCCGAGCGUCCACUGUAUUUGGGAGUGUAAGAGAGGAGCUGGCUGUUGGCUUCCCUGUUGUAAGGAAAAAGGAUCCUCUGAUUAGGGAUAAAUAUUUGCUGAGAUCAAAUGGAUCUGGACUACCAGUAGCCUUCAGAAAAGACUGUAGCUCAAUGGUAGAACACUUGCUUUGUAUGCAGAAGUACCCAAGUUCAUCCACCGCCAUGUUUUGCUUUCUGUUUGCAGGCUUGCCAUAAGCAUCUGGUUGGCCACUUUAGGAUUCUGGAGCAGAUGGGCCUUUGACUCUUUUUAUGUUCUUUGCUUCUCUAGGCAGGGCUGGGAACAUCCCCUGCUCCCCAGCUGAGGAGACCAGCCAUCAGUCCAUGUCAACAAUACUGAGCUGGAUGGACCAAUGUUCUGAUUCAGUAUAAGGGGGCUUCCGAUAUUCCUAUGAGCAAUUGUGGGAGGGAAAGCUGCACUCUGCACUUCUUUUCAGGGCUGUAACGAAAGCGCAUCAGCUAAAAUAUUUCAAUGCUUUUGUGGGGUACGGUUUACUUUCAGCUAGACCUGUGCCAAACACUCUGCCCUGAUUACUCAAAAGUUCUUCUCCUGCGAAAGAGGCCUCAACAUUUCUGCCUUUUUCUUGGGGCACUUUGAAAUUUCUGAAAUUUCUGAAAUUGCACUUUGAUGUCUGUGGGACAGCCUCCCCAGGUGUCUGCACUUCCUGGUCUGAAAAAGCCCCUGGGAGAAAGUUGCUUCACGACACCUUUCUGUUAGUUUAACUGAAACACAAGAAGCCACAAAGGCUGGCUUCCAAGUGCAGUCACAGAUAUUUUUCUUCUUUCCUUUUUGAAAAGAGAAGUCCUUUUCACAUUUUUGCUGAUUUCUUUAGAAGUAUAAACACUUUAAAACAAACAACUGCCAAACACAUGGCAGGCAGGACCCCCCCUUCCCAAACUUACAGGAAGGACAAGCUGGGGAGGCCACUGUGUUUACAGGAAAAGCAGGCGGUCAGAGUGCAUAUCUCUGGAGAGAUACCCUCUCCUGGACUUUGAUUGAAGUGUGGGCACCUGGGAAGGCUGCAAAGACCAGACAAUGGUGAGAUGAUUUGUAGAAUGAAAGAUGAAAUACCCUUUCUCGAUGACCUCAAAAGUAAGGUAAGUGCAACAAAAAUUCUGCACACAAGAAUUUCAGCGACGUUUUCUCUCCCCUUUGAUAACUUUUGAAUGCGGUUUCUUUUCUUAUAAUUGGAGAAUUGUCAGCAAAAAAAGAGAGGAUAAUUUUUCAGCACUUUCAACAAAUUUCUCAAGGAUUUAUGCCAGCUUUUGCCUACAGACAUUGUAUGCAAUUGACAGAACACUGUGCUUGUUUGUAAGCCACAAAAGGUAAUUCGGGAGGGGCCAGCUGCUUUCAAAGUAUGCCUUGCUCCACGAGAAAGGAAAGCGAAGGCAAACCAUUCUUUUAAACUAGUAGCUUAAAUUGUUAUUAUGGUUACAUCCAAACUGAAAGAAAUCCAGUUAUCCCUGUUGAGUUCUUUUUUAAAAAAAAAGCAACAUAAUUAUUAUUGUCUUAUUGCAACAAAACAGAUAAUUACGCCCUGCAAUUCUGCCACUGGUAAUUCUACAUAAUUUGUUCCAAAUCUGCCUUUUGACAUGUGUAAGAAAAGAGAAAAAGAGGGAGUUGUUUUCAGGGAACAUCCUGGGAACCACUAUAAAGUAAAUAAAUGCUGGUGAAUCCCCUGUUCCAUACACUUUUGAAAUACAGGAAGUAGGCAAUAUGAAACCGUGUGUGUGUGUGUGUGUGUGUGUGUUCAGCAGCCAAAAAAAAAAAAUAAACCCUAUAAAGUGCAGAGUUGAGGCUAGAUCAAUUUAAAUGCCAAAAAAGACUGCAAAUGUUUUGCCUUCAGUGGUCACUGCAGCAAUGUUAAUUCUGGGCUGAAACAUAUGCCGUUCAUGAAUUGGACUUCACAUGCAUGCAAAUUUCAUAGGUGACUGGAUAAAGGAAAGGCAGAAGAUCUCAAGAAAGAUUUCACUAAAGUUAACUUCUUCUAAAAAUGGACGUGGGUGGCGCUGUGGGUUAAACCACAGAGCCUAAGACUUGCCGAUCAGAAGGUCAGCGGUUCGAAUCCCCACGACAGGGUGAGCUCCCGUUGCUCGGUCCCUGCUCCUGGCAACCUAGCAGUUCGAAAGCACGUCAAAGUGCAAGUAGAUAAAUAGGUACUGCUCCGGCGGGAAGGUAAAUGGCGUUUCUGUGCGCUGCUCUGGUUCGCCAGAAGUGGCUUAGUCAUGCUGGCCACAUGACCCGGAAGCUGUACGCCGGCUCCCUCAGCCAAUAAAGCGAGAUGAGCGCCACAACCUCAGAGUCGGCCACGACUGGACCUAAUGGUCCCUUUACCUUUACCUUUAACUUCUUCUAUGAGUCUUUUGCCACAAUCUGUGCACACCGGCAUUUAACACAGAGGCACAUUCUUUUCUGCACCAUGAUGCUCACCCCAGCUCUGCUGAGCUGCCUGGAAGAGUCUUCCAGCAAACAACACUGAGCAACUCUGCCUGGGGCCACUUCGUUGCUGGGUUGGGUUUUCAUCAGUAUGCAGAUGAUACCCAGCUCUACCUCCCUUUCAGAUCAGAACCAGUGAAGGCAGUGAAGGUCCUGUGUGAGUCUCUGGAGGUGGUUGGAGGAUGGAUGACGGCUAACAGAUUGAGGUUGAAUCCUGACAAGACAGAAGUACUGGUUUGGGGGGACAGGAGGCGGGCAGGUGUGGAGGACUCCCUGGUCCUGAAUGGGGUAACUGUGCCCCUGAAGGACCAGGCGCACAGCCUGGGAGUCAUUUUGGACUCACAGCUGUCCAUGGAAGCGCAGGUCAAUUCUGUGUCCAGGGCAGCUGUUUACCAGCUCCAUCUGGUACGCAGGCUGAAACCCUGUCUGCCCACCUAUCGCCAGCGUGGUGCAUGCUCUAGUUAUCUCUCGCUUGGACUACUGCGCUCUAUGUGGGGCUACCUUUGAAGGUGACCCGAAAACUACAACUAAUCCAGAAUGCGGCAGCUAGACUGGUGACUAGGAGCGGCCGCCGAGACCACAUAAAACCAGUCUUGAAAGAUCUACAUUGGCUCCCAGUAUGUUUCCGAGCACAAUUCAAAGUGUUGGGGCUGACCUUUAAAGCCCUAAACGGCCUCAGUCCGGUAUACCUGAAGGAGCGUCUCCACCCCCAUCAUUCUGCCCGGACACUGAGGUCCAGUGCCGAGGGCCUUCUUGUGGUUCCCUCACUGCGUGAAGCCAAGUUACAGGGAACCAGGCAGAGGGCCUUCUCAGUAGUGGCACCCACCCUGUGGAACGCCCUCCUACCAGAUGUCAAAGAGAACAACAACUAACAGACUUUUAGAAGAUAUCUGAAGGCAGCCCUCUUUUAAUGUUUGACGGACCACUGUAUUUUAAUACUUUGUUGGAAGCCACCCAGAGUGGCUGGGGAAACCCAGCCAGAUGGGUGGGGUAUACACAAUUAUUAUUAUUAUUAUUAUUAUUACAUGUGCAAUAGCUACAUACGUACAACUACAGCUGGAUCAAGGCCAGAGAUUUCAAUGGGAGGGUUGGUUGUGUGCCCAGCCUUUCCCAACUGAGCCGACGUUUACAGCCAGAUCCUAUGCAUAUUGACUUGGGAGUACAUCCCUUUGAACGGAAUUAAACAACAUCCCAAGUAACUGCUAAGAAGGUUACAGUCAUAACCUGUGCCCCUUUUCAUUUUUUAUUCUCUUCGAUUCUCAAAAAUAUCCAUUGUAGCUCAUUUUAGUAUGCUUCCCAUAUUUCCACAUUUUUUGUUCAUUGCGCACCAUUUUUAUUUUCUUUUUGUCCAUUUGACAUGAGGAGGGAGCCACCAUAGUCAGAUUUGGAGAAUAGGGGAUAGUGCCAUUUAGUAGCUGAUACUUCCAAGGGGCCUUUCAUGUCUUUCUUGCUCUUUCUAUUAUAAAUUACUGUAUUUUUCCUGUUUUCAGUAUAGUUUUCUUGUGCAAUACAUUUAUUCACAGUUAGUAAAAUACUAAGCAGGCAGAGCCAUCCAGCAUGACCAAAGGCCAAGGAUGAUGUGAGCUGAAGUUCACCUUUUAGUUAUGGAGAACAUUGUCAGGAAUGUUCAUUCUUGGAAUUAGAUUCAGUGUUCACUUUAUGUGAAUAUAAUUUUAGAAGCUCCAUGACAGUUACUUAGCUGGGCAAUAUUUAUGACGGAACUAGCAGUUCAGGUAAUUCCAAUCCCUUCUUCCCUCCCCCAAACACAACAUUAGUAAACUCUUAAAUACUCCCCAAAGAUCUUCUUCUCUUUUCUUGGCAGGGACAUGAAACUCUCAUUAGUGUCAGCAAGGGUCGUGGUCAUAUAUCAGGAGCUGAAGAACUCUAAAUAAAUUAAUUGGAUUCCCCACAUCACUCACCCUCUUCAGUGAAUGGGGGCUAUUCAGAUUCAUGCAUGUUUUGAUUUCAAAGCUAAGGCACCCAGUGUCGUUUCAUGGAAGAUGUAGGAUGGAUGGGCCACCAGCUUGGAUGGUUUUGAAAGGCAUUUCAACAAAGUCGUGGAGGAUGAGCCUGUCAGUGGUUAUUGUGCUGGGAAACACAAGUGGGAAGAAACUGUGAUGUUUCUGGUUCCAACAAACCAUACCAAGGAUGAGGAAUAGUUUUAUCGAAGAAGCUGUAUUCAGCGGUGCUUCAAAUACUCUCUGCUAGAACUGAAAAUCAGAGCCUAAGGAACAUUUUGCUGUCCUGCUUUUAAGACUCACCAGGUUCUGGGAGAUGGAGGGUCUGGAAUGCUUUCUAAUGGCAACAUGUCAGAGCUGGGUGUUGCUCUGGCUCUCCCAUGAUUUCCCAACUUCCCCCCUCAUCUGCCUUUGAGCUGCUACCUCCCUCAAACCCCUGUUGUAAAUCUAUACAGUGGUACCUCGGGCUAAGUACUUAAUUCGUUCCGGAGGUCCGUUCUUAACCUGAAACUGUUCUUAACCUGAAGCACCACUUUAGCUAAUGGGGCCUUCUGCUGCCGCCGUGCCGCCAGAGCACAAUUUCUGUUCUCAUCCUGAAGCAAAGUUCUUAACCCGAGGUAAUAUUUCUGGGUUAGCGGAGUCUGUAACCUGAAGCAUAUGUAACCUGAGGUAUCACUGUACUCUCUUUCUCUUCCUCCUCCCUGGAAGGGUCAGGAUGGGGAGGUGGUCUUCACCGUUCCUCCUCUGCCCAGUCCCUGACACCAACAUGGUUGAUUCCACCCUGGCUUCAUGGGCUGGAUCAGUCCGGGACCUGAUCCAUGUCUUUGGUAAGAGCACCAUACCUGCUGCAUCUUUCACCCCCUUUGACUCAUUCCUACCUGUCCCAUCUGUGCAUUACCAUAUGUGCAGGUGCACCCCAAAAGCAAUCUUGGUCGUACACAUGGCCACAGUGAAACAUUACUCCCAUAAUAAAGAGCAUUUAAUCAUGGACGUGACUGCGUCGUGGCAAUGACACAGUGCUUUAAGACACAUGAGCACUGGUCAUGUAGGGAGCGAAGGAAAGAUGCAAAUAAAUGGAAAAAAUGGUAAGCUCAGACAAACCACCCAUGCAGUAUUUCUGGGAUUGAUUUUGCAGAUUCUCCUGGUUAAUUCAGAAUAUGGGAGGAGUGAAGAGGGAAACAAAGGAACAAUAAAGGAAGAGAAUAGGAGAAAUUCUCUCACCCCCUCAAAUGGAUGUGGUCACUGUGGCGAUCACACAGGGUCCCCGGAAACUUCACUGUCUACUGAUCCCUGUGCCACCAUUUUAUUUCGUGCUGCCACCACCCAGGCCCUACCUGGUACAAUACUGAGUCAAGUCAGGGUUAAAUUGGAACAUAAACUUCUGUUUAUUUAUUGCAGUUUAACAAAUGUGUGGUUUCAUAAAUGGUAUCGGUCAAUUACAAUCAUGGGGUGCCUAUCCAGACCUAUAACUUCCGCUACCUGCUCUCACUCACUAAACCACCUCUCAGAUAUUUACUUGUCUUCCUAGCUCCUAACUGUUCCUGACUUAGCUUAUUUUGCUACACUAACUCAACCUCCCCACAGACUCUAUCCCAAUUCACUCCCACUCCAACCAACCACCCAACUCCCAAUGAACUCCUCCUUUUGCCCCUCCCAGAGCUGGUUUUAUAGUCCCUCUGACUCCACCCCCUGGGUCCUGAUUGGGUAACCUGUUUAAUUAUUUCUCCUCCAGCACUCUCAUAUGUAUGUCACAGUCACCAAGGCAUUCAUGCUGCCUGCAGUGGGGGCCCCAGCACGAACAACUGUCUCUCCCAUUUCUGCUAGCAUUUGGGGGGCAUGAGUGGCUGUGAGUUCCGGGGUGAGGGAAGCCAGGCAAGUCAUCAAAUCUGCUGAGCUCCCCUGGGUGUAUAGGCCCUGGCAAAUGCCCCAGUAGGCCAAGUGCAGAUUCCAGGCCUGGUGUCCAAGCUAUGGACAGAAGGCAUGCUGAAGCUAAGCAGGCCCAGCUGUAGUCAGUACCUUGAUUGGGUGACCGUCUUUGGACCACUUGUACACCACCUUGAGUCCGUAAUUUAUUUUUUUAAAAAGCAGGAUAUAAACCUAAGAGAAUAAAUAAUUAAAACACGUAUUAAAUUAACAUAUACAAUCAGUGCCGAUUUUUGCACAUUCCCUAAGGCAACUGAUUCGUGAAGAUAGGCUUGCAAAAACACAGAUACAAAGAAAGAGGGAGGGAUAUGUAUGUCUGAGAGAGAGAGAGAGAGAGAGAGAGAGAGAGAGAGAGAGAGAUUUAAAGAUGAUUUUGGAUGUCAUAUUGGAACUGAAACCCUCCUUGAACUGGCUGUGGAGCUCUUUUAAUCUCAGCUACUUGAGCGUUUUUCUGACCCGCUAGAGCAAAUAGCUUCUAAGGUUACCCGAGGAUCGGAUUUUGUUUUGUUUCUUUUAAGUGGGAGAGCAUUACAGGUCUUCUCCAUGGUACAGUGAUCAUUGUUCUGCACAAUCGAGGUUCACUGCUGUGAAAGCUAAGCUCCUGUUUCAAAUCUACUGUGGUCUGAGAAAGCCACCACUUUAAUAAUGCCCUGGCUGUGAUGCUAGCAAAACAUUAUCAAUUUAGGCCUUAAAUUUUGAAGUACCAGGAGGCUAUAUUGACAGAGGAGGGGGGGAGUAGUCCUGUCUGUGAUCUUAUUUAAACAGUGAGCAACGGACUUGAUGCCAAGGCCAGCUUCAGAUUUCAGGGGGUAUGAUGCUGCCAGGGGGCACCCAUUCCUCAACUCACCCACCCAAUGCAGCAACAUCCUUUUCCUCUGCUGUUGCUGCCAUUGGGGAGGCAGCAACACGAAUGAUUGGCUCCUCCAGCUUGACCAGCCAUCGUGGAUCUGAAUUUGGCUCUCAUUCAAAAGUAGCAGUGCCUGUUGGGAUAUUCCAUUCCACCUUAAGGGACAGGCAUGAUUGUUGUGUGUCACAUGUCUGUUUACACUCCAGCACAGCUUGCUGGGAACUUCCGUUUGUGUAUAGCUUUUGCUUAUGCUGCUUGCUUGGACACGAAGGAGAAAAGACAUGUUUUCCUCUUGUCCUGAUGUAUGCUGAAUAAACUGCUUGUAAAUAUGCUCAACACAGUCUCUCCCCACCACUUCUGUUGCGCAGCGCUAUUUACUCUGCUGAGUUGUGUGCUCCAGCUUCUGAAGGUGUCUGAAGCUGGGGUCGCAGUUUCAUGCUGAUCUACGGACUGAAGGUCGCCCGGCACACCAGCCAGUGGGCUAGGGUCAGCUGGGGCCCUGCCAAUUGCCCCCGAUUCCUUGGCUGCAUCCCAACAGUGUUGCCCGCCCACCACUAUCUGAAUAUUAUGUUUGACCUGGUUUAUCUUUAGUUCGACCGCGAGAGUGCCUGUCUCUCAAGUGUAUAUGAAAGUUUGAUGCUUCAUUACGCUUUUAUAUUUCUUGAAGCUGCCCAGAGUGGCUGGGCAGAGUACAAAUAAAAAAAUCACCAUCAUCAUCUGAGUGAGUUUAACAUGGCCGGAUAAACUUCAUGCAAAUAUAAGCAAAUAAUUUGUUGUAUUCAUGGAAAUAUAUGCAAAAUAUUUAUAAGUUACUUAUAUCCAGGUUGAUAGCCUGAGAGCAGUUUUCAAAGCAGCUUACUCAAGCUUUCCAUAAUAUAAUCAUAGUCCAUUGUAGUAUCAGGAGUAGAAAUAGUUUGGUCCACCUGGUAAUGCCAAGAGCACUAUCCAAUUUAAUUGUAAUGCUUCAGGGACAGGGCGUCUUCUAUCACCUCGGGGAAGAACCACAGUUUAGUGAUUGAGCAUCUGCCUUAGAAGCAAGAGGUCCCAGGUUCAAAGAGACCUGCCUGAAAUCAUGGAGAUUGGCUGCCAGUCAGUGUAGACAGUAGAGGAGACUUAGAGGAGAUGUGACAGCCAUUUUCAAAUAUUUCACAUGGAGGAUAGAGCAAGUUUGUUUUCUCCUGCUCUGGAGGGUAGGACUCGAACCAAUGGCUUCAAGUUACAAGAAAGGAGAUUCCGACUAAACAUCAGGAAGAACUUUCAGAUGGUAAGAGCUUUUCUCAGUGGAAUGGUCUCCCUCGGGAAGUUGUGGACUCUCCUUCCAUUGAGGUUUUUAAGCAGAGGUUACAGGGCUAUCUGUCAUGGAUGCUUUAGUUGAGAUUUCUGCAUUAUCCCUUGUGACUCCUUCCAACUCUACAGUUCUAUGACUCGGUAUAAGGCAGCAUCCUACGUUACUCCCCACAUUUGUGGAACUCCCAGCCAAGAAAUAUUAAUACUUGAUCCCAUCUUUGUUAGUUUGAUAUGGCCCUUGAAGAGCUUUUCAUUAUCUCAGACAAGUCUUCCCCAAACUGGUUCUUUCCAGAUGUUUCAGACCCCAACUCCCAUCAGCCCCAAUGGUAAAGAAGGAUGUAUGGCAUUACUGGGAUCUCAAAGGGGGAAAUGACGUCUGGGGAAUUUUUCCAAAAGGCGGCACUUUGUCCUGGAUCUUAGGCAAAAAAAAAAAAAAAGCCCAACAAGUCUUUUCCCCCCAAAAAGCUCAACAUCUUCUUUUUUUCAGGGCAACCCUAAAGGAUGGGAGUUGUAGUCCAAAACAUCUGGAUAGCACCAAGCUGCCAUCAAUUGAAUCCUGGUGGGGAUUUUUCACUUUUGUGAUACAUAUCCAUUUUGUUUUUUUAGCCUUUGUUGUUUUAAUCAUGUCACUGCUGCUGUGAGGAUCGUCACUUUAUGAAUUGCUGCUGUUUCAAUGAAUUGUUUGCAGAGACAUCACCUUGCCAACAAAGGUCCAUAUAGUUAAAGCUAUGGUUUUCCCAGUAGUGAUAUAUGGAUGUGAGAGCUGGACCAUAAAGAAGGCUGAUUGCCGAAGAAUUGAUGCAUUUGAAUUAUGGUGCUGGAGGAGACUCUUGAGAGUCCCAUGGACUGGAAGGACCGAUCCUGAAGCUGAGGCUCCCAUACUUUAAACCUGAUGAGAAGAGAAGACUCCCUGGAAAAGACUCUGAUGUUGGGAAAGAUUGAGGGCUCAAGGAGAAGGGGACGACAGAGGACGAGAUGGUUGGACAGUGUUCUCAAAGCUACCAGCAUGAAUUUGACCAAACUGCAGGAGGCAGUGGAAGACAGGAGUGCCUGGCGUGCUCUGGUCCAGGGGGUCACAAAGAGUCAGACACGACUAAAUGACUAAAAAACAACAACAACAUCAGAUUUUUCUUUUCUUGGCUUGUUAUUUUAACAUUGAUGCUCUGCGGUUGUUAUUUCUUCAAUUUUUGUUUGUUGCUCUGGUUCUGCACCCUUUUAUACAUUGUAUGAUGUUUAAAUCUGCAAACCAUUGUGCAUUUAGGUUGCUGCUGUUUCUAAGAAGGUGGAAUAGAAUUUAUUUUGCAAUAGUCUUAGUUGCUUCUAUUGUUAGCCCUGAGAGUAUGAUAUUGCAGAGAGUAUCGUGCAAGUGUGUAAACAGAUAAAGAUGCUCACUAUUUUGCACGAGGGAUUUCAGUGCAUAAUGGAAAUGGAGAGUUCUGCAAUUAAAGUUUAUUCAAGCGCUCUUUCACCCUGGUACAACAAAGCUGAUUGUGGGUUUUUUAAAAAAAUAUAAAAAAUACAGGCUUAUUGCAGUUAUAACAGUGAUGGGGCAAUACACUGAAAAGCCUGGAAUGAAUGAAUGAUUAGCAAGAAGAUGCAUGAACAUCCCGCAAGCAAACAGAGAUGAAUGUUUACUGCCAUAUAACCUCCACCAGACCACAUAAUUGUCUAACCUCCCUGCCGGCUUUCUGCAAGGGUGAAAGUUCAAUAAACAGGUUGUCCAGAGGACUCUAAAUAAAUGAAAAUGAAAGGCACAGGGGCAGGCCAGCCUAUUUCCUCCCCAGCUCAACUGGCACCCUUGGUCCCUCUCGGCAAAGGUAACAGGAGAAGAGAACCUUGGUGUUAUUUCCAUUUUAGCCCGCUAAAUUGGGUUUCCCCUUUUUGAAAUGCCCGCCUGCCCACAAAGCAACACAAAUUCCACACAAUGAGAUAAGACACUGUGAAACCAUUCAACGUCGCCGGGGUCCGUGUGCCAAUGGCAAAGUGUAGCUGAACAAUGGCUUGCUAAACAGCAGCACAGUAUUAAUUGCUAAUUAUUUCACCAGCCUGUCUGAAAUGCAACUCCCCUCCCCAGCCUCCUAAAUCAAUUUUUAAUCCAUUUAAACAGCCAAGGAAUGCUCAAUCACAAAACAUGUAAUUACAGGGGAUUAUAUCACACCUCCAGCAUUUUGGCAAUGGGACUCGGUGGCAAAAGAUAAAAAAAAGAAAAAAAGAAAGAAAGAAGGUAGCACCAGAUUGUUUUAUUCAUGAAUUUUUCUACUUAACAGCAAAAUUGCUAGUUAUCGCUACAAUGCAUUCUUUGUUCAGACUUUUGGCUCCCAUUCUUCAGGUUUAGAAAUAAGACUUUAAAGUAAAUAGAGACAUACAAAAAGGACCCCCGCCCGUACCCUACUCAUAUCAGCACCAUGAUAGGGAAGCAAGUAAAGCUAAUAUUAAUUCUAAAAAGGAAUUGAAAACAUUAGUAAAGUAAAUUCCCCCAGGGUAUGGCAUGGUAGAUCGCAAUGCUACCUGUAUUGCUAUCAUAGCUUUUUUCAUGAAUAUGGUUUUUUAAUGAUGCGGUCUUUGCAUAGAAUUGGAUUCAUAUAUAUAUGAAUGAAACCAAGGGAUGUAAGAUUUAUGGCUGAUUUCUGCAACCUGUUACAUUUUGGACUACAACUCCCAUCAUCCCCAGCCAGCAGUCUAAAACAUCUGAAGGUGAUAAGUUUGGAGAAGGCUGAUUUAGGGAGUGGAGGUGUCUGGGGUAAUUGUGUUUGGUUUGGAUCUCAACUUCCAAAUUCAUGGCUCUACUUGAAAUAGUGGGGUGCAUGGGGUGUUGGGGGAGGAGAAGUGCCUUUGGAGGGGGACAUGUUGUGCUCCAUCUGGGGUAGAUUGUCCACUUUGGUUCCCACCCUGCACUUGGCUCUCACCUGUGGCUCCUAGAAGUUGUCAGCAUGCAACAGCAGCUACAGCCCAGGAAACGGCUUUGACUGGUCGACUAAACCAGGUGAGGUUAGGGGCUUCCCCUGCAUGCAAAGACAGACUCUGGUGGAUUGAGCAGACAAGACCCAUAGUGGUGUUGGGAAUUUCAUUCCUCCCGUGCUGCAGAUGUGUGGGAUUGUUGCAUGUCACAUGUCUGUGUUUACAUUCCAGCACUGAUUGUUGGUGUCUUGUGAGCGGAAACUGAGAUACAGUGGUACCUCGGGUUACAGACGCUUCAGGUUACAGACGCUUCAUGUUACAGACUCCACUAACCCAGAAAUAGUACCUUCGGUUAAGAACUUUGCUUCAGGAUUAGAACAGAAAUCACGCGGCGGCGGUGUGGUGGCAGCGGGAGGCCCCAUUAGCUAAAGUGGUACCUCAGGUUAAGAACAGUUUCAGGUUAAGAACGGACCUCCAGAACGAAUUAAGUUCUUAACCUGUACGCUGUUCCGUUCUCUAUAGCUAUUGCUUUUGCAGUUCCUUCUCCAAGGAAGAAAGACAGAGAGAGAAGCCAUGUUUUCUUUGUUCUGUUACAUUUGAUUUUCUGCGCAAUAAUUUAGGCUUAGAUGUUACACCUCAAGGCACAGCUUCCAUUUGGACUCUGCUAGUCAUGUGCUCAUGUCCUUGGAUAUGAAGAAGAAGAGUUUGGAUUUGAUAUCCUGCUUUAUCACUACCCAAAGGAGUCUCAAAGCGGAUAACAUUCUCCUUUCCCUUCCUCCCCCACAACAAACACUCUGUGAGGUGAGGCUAAGAGACCUCAGAGAAGUGUGACUGGCCCAAGGUCACCCAGCAGCUGCAUGUGGAGGAGCAGGGACGCGAACCCGGUUCCCCAGAUUACGAGUCUACCGCUCUUAACCCCUACACCACACUGGCUCUGAGUCACAUCAGCAUGAUGGGACAUUGGAGUGAUGAAUCCCAGGCGACACUGCGUUGGGGUGGAAAGGCACCAGCCUUGGCGUUAUCACCCAACAAGUGGGUCCAAUGGUCAAGAGGGGACAUGCUGCAGAGGGAAGUGAGGGGCAGUUGGGGCUUGUCAACAUGGGAAGGUAGCCCUAGAAGAAGGAAAACUCCUAAACCUUCACUGCCUUGCUGGAUAUCUUCAGGAGAAGAAAAGGCUAAAGAGUAAACCCUACACAAAUCUGUAGUCCCUAAGACGGCUGGAUGGCGCCUCCUACAGCUCCUUCUAGCUGGUGCCAAACGUCCUGCUCAACUUUCCUUCCGACCACAUCAGUGUGGCUCAGAAGCAGGUUUUGUCGUCUGGGAGUCCCAGAACACACUGCCCAGGCUUGUGUCUUGGGGAGGUCACUUCAGUGCUGCUAAUGCAGCUGUUUGACUCCUCCCCAAGGCAUACCCCAUUGUCUCUCAAGACAGACAGAUGCCAACAAUUUGCAAGCAGUGAAUUUGGGGGAGACUUUUCAACACGAAAAAGAUGGGGGACUUCGUGUAAGAGGUUUGGACAGCAUUAUUUUUCAGAUCUUUUAGGUGGGAAUCUUCUUGGCAGUUGCUGUCUAGUGGCCACCAUUCUCCCCCCCCCCCAAAAAAAAGAGUUGGGGUGCAGGGAGAGUUGGGGCAAGAAAGAGCUCUCCAGCUGCAUUGGACAGCCACUCCCCCAGCUGGUGACACCCCAAAAGAUACUUUUUUAAAAAAGAAAAGAAGACUCACAGUUGCAGCCUACUCAAAUGUUAACCUCCCUCAAUCCCUUAGAAAUGGUCUUCCUUUCCAAAUUGCCUUCAGGUUUCCUUCCAGUUCCCCCUCCCCCCAUUCAAACCUCCUCUGUUGCUGCACCCAGGUUUUGAACUCCUUAGCAUCUAGUCCAGCAACCUGUUCUCACUGUAGCCUGAAAGAGAAUCACAAAUUGGGAGAGCUCUGUGACACUCAGGUCCUCCUUCUCUGGUUCCUAUAAGCAUCCAGUUGGCCACUGUAAGAAUAGGAUGCUGGAAAACCCAGCAAGGCUCUAUUUAUCAUCUUGUGCUUCAUGGUUUCCUUGACUCGAAGAAGAGUAAAAACACAGACUUUCUCUUUUCUUUUGUGGCAUUUGAAAUGCUGAUUUUAGGUCUGGUUCCAGAAAACACUGGAAAGAUUCUUGAUCAUAUAUGCCAUGCGGGAAAAGAAAAGGGGCCAAAGUGGUCAAUAAUUGGCAUAAGAGAUAGGAAUUAUUAAACACACAUAUACUUGUUUAAAAAAAGAAUUGGUGCAGACAGAUAUCUUUGCAAGCCACAGAGUGGCUUCCAGAUUUAUAACAGAUAAUAUUAUGUAAUAUAUAGCUUUCCAGGCUGCUACAGGAACACUAAUCAAAUAAACCAUAUAGGCUCCAUUCCUAUAUCCACUUACUUUGGAGUAAGCCACAUUGAACUCAGUGUGUCUUACUUCUUAGUAGACGUGUGCAGGAUUGUGUUGUAAAACAUACUUUUUGCCAAUGAACAGUAUCUCUGUGUGUGUAUUCGAGCAAGAAAAAAAUGUUUUUCUUGGCUAAUCGAGACUCUGCAGCUACUUAUGUUUAGGGGAAAUGAUAAUUUAAUGCAUUCAUGGGAGUUGUAGCCUGGCCUUCUCCCUCAUUCCGAGUUACAGGAAAUGUUCUUACUGAAUGGGAUUCUGAAUACCAAGAAGCCAAACUGAAAGGCAGAUACUGAAAUGUUGUGAUCUGAUUUAUACAACCACAACCAUGCAAAAGAGAACUACAACCCAAAAACUCGGUGCAUGCAACUGCUUGAUCUAGUUAUAUACACCAAUACAGACUAACCCAUUGCCUUUAAAUAAAACUCAUCAACUUGGGGAUUCUUUAGCUGCGAUUCCUGCAUUCUGUGCAUUCUGCUCAGUGAACAUAGGAAUAUAGGAAUAUAGGAACAUACCUUGUACAGAGUCGGACCAUUGGACGUUCCAGUUCAGCUUUGCCUACACUGACUGGCAGCAGCUCCCCAUGUUACAGGCAGGGAAUCUUUUCCAACCCUUUUGAACCCAGGGCUUUCUGCAUGCAAACAGGUGCUGUACCACUGAGCCAUGGCCCAAUGGUGCUUCUUCUCAUGUACGGUGGUUAUAGGAUUGUAUCUCAGUCUUGGAAACUGGUCCAAUGAAAACUGCCAUCACCUAGCCUAAUAGCACAAUUCCCAGGGCCACAGAAAGGCUUGUGAGCGCCAAGACCUGUCCUGGGCCCUCCAAGCUGAGGGACUAGAGAGUGAUUGGCCAUAGCCGUGAGCCUCCAGUUGGAUUUCCCACAAUGCCGUGGGUGGCACUGUGCUUGGCACUUCAAGGCAUUGUGGGGAAUAAAUUGGCAGGUCUCAGUCCCCUUUGAACUGCUGUUACUACCACCUGCGCCAGGUAAGCCCAAAGGAGAGAGCAUCAACAUCAGAGGAGGGCACGGGAAGAAACUUUUAAAUAAACUAUUUAUGUUAGGACUCAGCUACAUUAUUAUUAUUUUUAAAGUGUUUUAAAUGUGUUAUAACACUGUGACACCAGAUGGAGCUGUAGAGUUCUGUCUUACGGCAACAUGUUUACAAUGUGUUUUCCUGAAACACGUUUGUUUGUUUUUUGCUGGUACUUCCCAACUGGUGCCAUUCAAAGCCAGCCUAACUUUUACAUGAAUAAAUGAAGAAAAUGCAGGCUUCCUAGAUAGAAAGAGGCGCAAGUCUGAGGUUAAGCCUGAAGAAAACUGACUUGCAAUGUUCUCAUGCUUAACCCUAUUGAAAUCAGUGUGGCUUUCCUGAGUUCAGUCUUGGCUGGACCAUGUUGUGUAUUCUUCAAACCCAACCUCAGCAGCAAGCAGUUUCAUCUCAUCAGUAUUCACAUCCAUAUAUAAAGAAUGAGAAAUUCUCUCUUUUCUUUUUCUUCUUCUGACAUCACUCAUGUACCCAGGUGCUAAAGUCUCCCCUCCACCUGUUUUUGCAACUUACUGACACGCUCCUUUCAUUCAGGAACAUGAGCAUGCUACCUACCUGCCACCUGAUCCCUUAACACCCUUUGAUGUCCUUCUGCCCUGCGCCCGAGGUCGAAGUCGACAGCGGACAUGCCUUUGGUAUGAAUGAUUUAAGGCAACAGGUGAAAGUCUUUACAUGCGAAUACUUACAACGGCCUUUCAAGGUCUCGGUAUCAGUUACGAUCAUAUUCCCCAAGUGGUCCCUUGCGUAUUCCCAAUUGUGUUGCUGUUUAUACAACUUGCUGCCCUGCCACAUUUCAUGGCUUUUUAUUAUUAUUUUUAAUGAAUUGUGCACACAGAUCCUCUGAUUCUUGCCUGGGGGAGCAUCUCUCAAGCAGUCAUCCUUCAUUAAGGGGAGCUGCCAUUCACUGAUGAGACAACAGCAGAUCACGGAUGUAAGUUUCCUGUUAACUUCUUUGAGUCCCACCUGCUCUCUGCAUCCACUGACUCUAAACUUCUGAGGGAGUCAGCCAAAAACGGCUGUAGUUUUGCUGAUGCAGUAUGUUUGAGAGUUUGGUGCUCUUUCUGGGUUUUUGAUUUUACAGCUUGGAUUUUAACGAUGCUUUAAGACCAUUUUCAAUUGCGUCUGAAUUAAAUUUUAUGUGAGCAGCUCCGAAGGUUCAUUUGAGGUCUUAUAGGACAGGAUAUAAAUGUAAAACAUAUAGCUCCCUUGUCCCUUUUAUUCUCCUCUCCCUUUGUUUCCACUCUACCUUGACAGCUCUUACUUUUAUGAGGUAUAAAAUAAGACAACCUGCCCCACCUUUGUGGUCUCUAGGUGAUUUGAACUUCGGCUUCCAUCAUCCCUUACAACUGGCCAUGCUGUCUGGGGCCGAUGGGAAUUAGGGCCCAAAACAUCAGGAAUGCACCAAUUUGGGGGAGACUGGACUGGGAUUUAAAACAAAAAACAACAACAUCUUCUUCUCUUGAUGCUGAAAGGACAUAAGAGGAGGAGCUAGGUAAGUCUCCCUGGGAAGGAUGUUCUCCCAAAAAGGUCCAACAGGUGAACAGGCCAACUGAGUCACCCACCUAACUUGGGAUGAUUACAAUGCUACUGCAUACAUGUGGGGAAAGAUUGUUUCAUUUUUAAUUUGUAUACUGCUUUUCUAUAUUACUAUACACAAGUCAGUUUAUAGCAACAAAAUGCACAACAAAGAACCGCACCUUAUAAAACAUAACUUUAAAACGGAACAACUUAUAUCUGAUAAAGAAAUAUUCAAUAAUCUAUUGGAAUAUAUUAGUACCCAAUAAAUUUGACUCUCAAAACAUCAGCAAACAAUAAUUAAACAGAAAUUAACUCUUAACAAUUACAAUAAAUAAAUAUUGAAUUAUGAUCGGUAAAAAUAACUUCAGGUUGGGGAAGGCUGAGGUAAGGCAGCAUCACUAAUCGGUCCAGUUUUCGUUGAAGGGGGUAUCAACCUUUCAGUUAACUAAGACAUGGGCAGAAUAAAAAGGUUCUCCAACUAUUUGUGAUGACAGAUGCUAUCCAAUCACAUGAGCCAGAGGUCUCCAACCUUUUUCGGCCUUUAGGAACAUUUGGAUUUUUGAGUGAGUGGCAUGGACCUCAGCCCCUCUGGCCAUUUCUUUCCCCACUUCCCUGAAUCAGCUGCCUCCUAGGAGGCAGAGGGAGAGAAAGCACACACACACACACACACACACAUUUCCUCAGGGAAUGGGGCAAAAGUUGAGUCCAGCAUAAUUAAUCUGUGCCUUGAAAAGUACAUAGAGCUAAAAACAGGAAGUGGGAAGAGUGCCACUCUUCCCACUUCCUCCUUCAGCUCUAUGUACUUUCAUACCCUCCAACAUUUCUGCGAUGAAAACAGGGACAUCCCAUUCCAUAAUGAUAAUUUUACUAUUUAUAUCUCACACAUCUCACUGGGUUGCCUCAGCCACUCUGAGCAGCUUCCAACAUACAUAAAAACAUAAUAAAACAUUAAAUACUUUUUAAAAAGCCUUCCCUAUACAGGAUUGACUUCAGAUGGCUCGGGGGAUGGAUACCCUCCAACAUUUCUCCAAUGAAAAUAGGGACAUCCUGUGACAUUCUGAGACCAAAUAGGGACAUCCUGUGACAUUCUGAGACCAAAUCAGAAAAUGGGAUGGCAUCUCUAAAUCAAGGACGUCCCUGGAAAACAGGGACGCUUGGGAGGGUCUGUACUUUUCAAGGGAGAAAAACGUUUUCAGCAGUUUUCAAUUCACUCAAUAAAUUUGUCAUUUCACAAACCAAGCAUGCACUACGGAGGUGCCAGCAAUCAUUUCCUAAAACUAUCAGACAAUAUCUAUAAGUUUAGCAGGUACCGUAUUUUUCGCCGUAUAGGACGCACUUUUUCCCCCUCCAAAAAUGAAGGGAAAAUCUGUGUGCGUCCUAUGGGGCGAAUACAGGCUUUUGCUGAAGCUUGGAGAGCGAGAGGGGUCCGUGCGCACCGACCCUUCUUGCUCUCCAGGCUUCAGGAAGCUAUCAGCAAGCCUGGGGAGCCUGCGGGAGUUCCCGCAGGGCUCCCUAGGCUGUAGAUAGCAGCCUGCCGCCCGGCGCGCGGGCGCCCUGAAGCAGAGCACCCCACGCGCCGAGCAGACAUCCGCAGCCUGGGGAGCCCUGUGGGAGUUCCCGCAGGGCUCCCCACGCUGCAGAUAUUAGCCUGCCGCCCAGCGCGCGGGGCGCCCUGAAGCAGACCACCCCUCGCGCCGGGCAGACAUCCGCAGCAUGGGGAGUUCCCGCAGGGCUCCCCACGCUGCAGAUAGCAGCCUGCUGCACGGAGCGCGGGCUGCGCUGAAGCUGAGCGCCCCGCGCUUCGGGCAGACAUCGUCCAGCCCCACAAGCUCGGGGGACAGCGGGGAGGCGCAGCGCCGCCAUCCCGCUGAUCCCCGACCUGGUUUUGGGGGGGAAAUGAAGGGAAAUUUUUUUCCCUUUAUUUCCCCCCCAAAAAAACUAGGUGCGUCCUAUGGGACGAAAAAUACGGUAGGUGCCUUUAUUAGGAAUGCCUUUUGUAAACAGCAGCAACACCAGGUAUUUGAAGAGCGCUCAGCAGCUGAUCUCAAAGCACUACAUUACCAGGAACUGCUUUUUCCUUUCUCAAGUUUUUCCUUUGGCGUAGUAUCAUAGCAAGCUGCACAACUCAGCCUUUCAGAGAAUCCUUUUUGAAUUCCAUCCUUAUGCCCUGUAGCCUCCUCACAUUCCUGUAAGGCAGUUUAAUAUUCAUUUAAUCAUGCCAGAACACCACAUGCGGCACUCUGCAAUGGCUGUACAGACGCUAAUUAAGCCGAGCUGUGCAAACAAUCAAGCAAUUUAAAAUCAAAACAAAUCCCCCUGUUUCAUCCAAACAAUUGAUGGGGGCAAAAUCAAUGAAAACACUCUCGGCGCAUGCAGAGUGCAGAAAUCAUCCCAUGAUAUAUUGAUGCAAUUACUAUAAUAAAUGUCACAUUUACAAUCGCAAGUGGUCAGGAACCUCAAGCGGGGGAAAAGAGUAAUUUGCUGGGUAAGUGGAAGUGUGUUUGGUAUGUUCACAUAACACUUUCUUCCCUUAAAAGUAAUAGCAUGGCAAAUUUGAGUUUGGAACAUCAGCUUUUAACUUUGGGAAUCACUUGGGAGCCAAGCUUUUAAUUACAGUGUUAACCUCUCUCCAAGAGGUGAGAGGUUUCGGUGAUCUUACCCAGGCUCAAUUUCCUUUAGAAGAUAGCCAGUGAAAGUUUAUUGGCAUUUUUAAAUAUUGGUGUUUAUUUAGAAAUAUACAGGUUGAGUAUAGAUGAAGACCCAGCAUUGAAGACUGGCAGCCAGCCCAAAGUUUGGUGCUUUCACAUCUGAUAUCUAGGAGGGCAGCCAGUACACUGAGACUCUUGAUGAGCCAGCUCAUCUCUCUGGCCCCCACCUGCCUGCCUUUCUCAAUCCCAUAAAAAUGCUUUUGGUUGGAUCCAGAGUUCCUGGGGCUAGAACCCUGCUCAGGAGAUGCUCCUACAGGGGGUAGGCCAUAGCUCGGUGGUAGAGCAUCAAUCCCUGGUAUGAAUCCCAAGUGGGGCAGGAAGAGACCUCUGCAAUUCUAGGGAGCCACUGCCUGUCUGUGCAGAUGUAUCAAUGGUCUUACUCCCAUCCUUUUCCAUUACUGAGUGACCCUGUUGGACCAAAAGACCUUCUAUGAAUGCAAGGGCAUCAGCAGGAUUCUAUCCAAUAUGUUUAUCUGUGAUGUGGUAGCUUGGACGUCAGUGACUCUGUAUUGUGCAUUUUUAACAUUUCUAUUCCCGUAGCAGGCAUGUCCAACAGGUAGAUCAGUAGAUCACUGGACGUCUGGUAGAUCACUGGUAGAUCACUAGCUCCCCCCAAAGAAGCUCAACGUUUUCACCCUUCACCCUCCUACCUCUUCCCUAAAAAAAGUUCAACAACUUUGACCUGAACCACAAAAAGGGGGGUGGAUCACUGCCAGUCUUUGUGAGUAGAAUCACAGUCCCUUGGGAGUUGGCCACCCUUGCCGUAGAGCAUGAAACUCUAGAUCUCAAGGUCAUGGGUUCGAGCCCCAGUUUGGGCAAAAGAUUCCUGCAUUGCAGGGGAUUGGACUUGAUGAUCCCUGUGGUCCCUUCCAACACUACAAUUCGAUCAUUCUAUGUGCCCUUUGCAGACUUUCAUUCACACAUUCGACAAAUGCACCUGGGGGGGUUAUUGCAGCUUCAGGCUCCCCUCGCAACCUAUGUGUUCACGGAAUGAGCAUCACCCUAAUGAACAUCUCAAAAUAGCUGUGAUUGUCAUUCAGGGAGUAGCUAUCCGUGAGGGGGCAGGAUCAGACAAAAUGAGAUUUCAAGAAGUAAUGUCUAAAAUAACAUUUUAUUUUGACUACUCCCACUAAGGUUGGGAUCCCCAAAGUUGUAGCUGGGCUGCCAUGGCACCCCAGAUAACCCCCUGGUACCAGUUGAGACCCCUUGCACCUUCUUAAUAUUUUUGAGGAGUGGCGGCUCUAUUUUAUUUUAUUUUACCUUGGUCAGUUUCUGGCUGGAUGAAAAGAGAAGGGCAGGUCUCCAACCCAUCCCACCCAUGCCUUUGGCCUGCAUAUAAGCCCAGAGACAGGAGAAGAAAAUACCAGGGAGGGACAGUUUGAGGCAUGGACUUUUGUCUUGCCCCUUCUUCAGAAAAUAAAUAAAUAAAUGGGGCCAUUUUACUGCUACAUUUUGGGGAAAUUAUGGGAGUGACCUGAGAGGAGUGAUUUGGUGUGUGCUUAUGUUUGUUUGGGGGGUGUUCUGUAUGCAUUUUUUAGACUGCCUGUCUCUCUUUUUGCUUCCCCACCCCCACCCCCCAGGUGUCUGUCUUUUCAGGGGGUGACUGCUCUUUGUGGUGUUUUUUAUGGUGGGUAGCCUGACGUUUUUGUUUUACGGAGGUAUAUUGCCUAUAGUGUUGUUGUUGCUGCAUGUGUUUAUGAGCAUCCACUUCCACUGCUGGGCAUUUUCUGGUGCCCUCCAACAUUCGGAUUUCUAGAUGUGCUCCAAGGGCCCAAAAGGUUGGGGACACCUGCAACAUUGAAGGUGGCUUUUGCAGUAAUUGCACAGAGAAGGCUCUGUUUGCCAUCACUUAAGGAGUGUGUAACGUUUGCGUACUCCAAAUCGGGAUAUACAAUUUACUUUACCUUAAAUAUAGCGUUUUCACAGAAACCCUGCAUUCUCUAGAAACUCUAUCCAUCUAAAUUGCUGUAUUUAGUGUGGCUAAAUAAGUCCAGGCCAAAUUUAGUGCCUGUCCACAAACAGUCCCUGCCAGCAGAAUUGUAAAGGGUCAUUUUGGAAGGUAGUAAUGACUAGUGGCACUUGUGCCAUUUUAUCUGGGAAACUACCGGUAAAUAAAUUUUAGAAAACACCUGAGAAACAUUGAAGCUUUAGAUGUGUCACGAAAGUUGACUUUGGAUUCAUGCGGGACCUUUCCUUUCAGCAAGACUUACAACCUAGAGCAUCCGUAGCAGGAAAACGAUCCUGUCAACUUCUGUGAGACCUCUGAGCAAACCUCUUUCAGAUUUGGCUGUAAGACUCUACGGUUGCUUACUUGGUACUAUUGCUAUUAUUACAUUUAUAGCCGACCUUUCCUCCAAGGAGCUCAAGUUGGUUCUCCCCAGAACAUCCCAUUUCCCCCCACGAGAGCAUGGUGGCUAUUUGAGGCCUUUUUCAGGGCCGCAAUCUCACACAGGACCUCAAAAUGCAUGUUUUUGGGUGCCAUAAGAACACGCCCCACCCCAAUCAUGUCUUUGAGGCUCUGUGAUCUUGUGCAGAUCAUGUGACUUACAUGAGAGCACCGACAGGAAGAAAUGUGUCCUGCUUUUGGGACUCAACAUGUUGGAGGGUCUGGUAUUUCAAACAAUGUUUAUUCAGGUUGUGUUUGUGCUUGUACAUACAGUCGUACCUUGGUUUUCAAACAGCUUAGUUCUCAAAUGUUUUGGCUCUCUACACUCAUCUCCUUAUAAUGUUGCCCCAAAAAACCCUCCACAUGCCCAUAUCAGUGUCAGAAAAGAAGCUUUGCAUAUACAGUGGUACCUCAGGUUAAGAACUUAAUUCAUUCCGGAAGUCUGUUCUUAACCUGAAACUGUUCUUAACCUGAAGCACCACUUUAGCUAAUGGGGCCUCCCACUGCCGCCACUGCUCGAUUUCUGUUCUCAUCCUGGAGCAAAGUUUUUAACCCGAGGUACUAUUUCUGGGUUAGUGGAGUCUGUAACGUGAAGUGUAUGUAACCUGAAGCUUAUGUAACCCGAGGUACCACUGUAUACUUUUAUGAGCAUUGACUGUUCUGGUGUUCAGAUGAACACAUGUAGGUUGUGAGCAUGGCUUGCCACUGCAAUUCCACAUUCCAGCCCCGUGUGCAGUCAUUCCUUGUGGAUGUAAAGGUCUAAAAGGGGCUCAAGACACUUUUACAAAAGGAUAGUACACUUACAAGGAGGUGUGAUUUCACAAAGGUUUGGAAACAUGGGCUUCCUUAAUGCUCCAGUGAGAUUAAAUGGCAUUAAUGGACAUUAAGUGAGAGCUGGACCAUAAAGAAGGCUGAUUGCCGAAGAAUUGAUGGUUUUGAAUUAUGGUGCUGGAGGAGACUCUUGAGAGUCCCAUGGACUGCAAGAAGAUCAAACCUAUCCUUUCUUAAGGAAAUCAGCCCUGAGUCCUCACUGGAAGGACAGAUCGUGACGCUGAGGCUACAAUACUUUGGCCACCUCAUGAGAAGAGAAGACUCCCUGGAAAAGACCCUAAUGUUGGGAAAGAUGGAGGGCACAAGGAGAAGGGGACGACAGAGGAUGAGAUGGUUGGACAGUGUUCUCGAAGCUACCACCAUUACUUUGACCAAACUGUGGGAGGCAGUGGAAGACAGGAGUGCCUGGCGUGCUCUGGUCCAUGGGGUCACGAAGAGUCGGACACGACUAAACGACUAAACAACAACAAUAAGGAGCUCAAGAAGCUACAAGGCCAGGUAGAGGUAAAAUGAAGAGGCUACAAAACACCGACUAAACAACAACAACAAUGGACAUUGGUUCCAUUUUGCUUGAAACAAAAUUGCUGCUGAUCCUUUCGGAAAGCAAAUGCAAUUCACAAGGAAGCUAUAACAAGAAAAGUGCCAUCUAGCAUUAUUGUUGAGAACUAGGCAGGUUGGGGGAGGGUGCUGGGGAUGGGGGGCAAUAGGCGGUAAGGACACACAAACCAAUAACUCAGCUUAAUGGUAUUUGUAAAACCUGGGCCAAACAGCAAACAUUGCUUUUGACAGCCUGUUGGUUCUGUAUUGUUCCAAAGCCUGGUACCUUGGUUACGAAAUAUCUCCAAUUCUCCCCCCCGCCCCCCAAUGAUCAGAAAGGCUUAUUGUAGCAUGUUGGAUGCGGAGAAAGAGAAAGAAUGAGGAGAGGGGUACUUAGUAAGUUCUGUGGAAAGAAAAUGGCUCCACGGCAGCUUUAUUCAUUCAGACAAAUGCUUACAGGUCCCCUGCCAAAAUGGAUUCCCGAGACUACAAGAGAAACAACUAAGGCACAUUGGUUUCUGUUAUCUCUGUUUGGACAUUUGUCUGUCUUCACUAGAUCUUUGAAAGCUUGUUUACAAGGAAGACAGGUUGCCCCAAAGCAGAAGGGAUGAAUCUGUUGACGGAUAGGAUGCAGUCUGGGGUUUUUUUCUUUCCUUUUUUUAAUUGGAAGCUGACGUUCGCUGGAAUGAGCCUGUAAGGUUUGCUGUGGAACAAUACGACCUACCACCAGCGGCUUAUAUUUCAGCAGGGUUAAAGCAAGGGGUCUUUGAAACUUGGAGUGGCGUGGAAUUCUUCAUUUUAAUGCAGAGUUUGCAUCUGAUUAAAUACAUUUUUUAAUUCUUAUUUUUAAAGGUCCCUUGUCCUAGCAAACUGAAUUCUGAUACGCUUUUGGGAGGGGGUUGUUUUUGUUUUAUUCCCUUUGCAAAAGAAUGCUUUUCAAAUGCAAUCAUACAGAAUAUGUCUACUGAGACCAAUGAAUAUUAGUCACAGUUAAGACAGCAACCAUUGCAAAUUCUAUAGGAAAUGAACGCUAUUUUGUCAUGGCAGCUUUUUAUUUUUUUUAUGCUAGUCUAGAUAAAUAAAUAAAUAAAUAAAACCCCAAUUUCCUCUGUCUUUAUUUAAAACUUCAACCAGAUACAAAACUCAGAAAAGAAUAUAUAUAAUGCCUACAUUUAUGCUCAGUAUAAAGGUAAAGAGACCCCUGACCGUUAGGUCCAGUCGCGGACGACUCUGGGGUUGCGGUGCUCAUCUCGCUUUACUGGCCAAGGGAGCCGGCGUACAGCUUCUGGGUCAUGCGGCCAGCAUGACUAAGCCACUUCUGGCGAACCGGAGCAGCGCACGGAAACGCCGUUUACCUUCCCGCCAGAGCAGUACCUAUUUAUCUACUUGCACUUUGACAUGUUUUCAAACUGCUAGGUUGGCAGGAGCAGGGACCGAGCAACGUCAUGGGGAUUCGAACCACCGACCCUCUGAUCGGCAAGUCCUAGGCUCUGUGGUUUAACCCACAGCACCACCCAAAAAAAAGUACAAGUAGAUAAAUAGGUACUGCUCUGGCGUGAAGGUAAACGGCUAUUCGGUGCCCUGCUCUGGUUUCGGUGUUCCGUUGCGCCAGAAGCGGCUUAGUCAUGCUGACCACAUAACCCGGAAAAACUGUCUGUGGACAAACGCCGGCUCCCUUGGCCUGUAAAGUGAGAUGAGCGCUGCAACCCCAGAGUCGUAUCUGACUGGACUUAACUGUCAGGGGUCCUUUACCUUUUUAAAAAAUAAAUUCCAUAACUAUUUCCUAACUAGCCCAAAACAAUAUUGGGUUGUAUUCCUUUAAGUUUUAUUGAGAGUGGACCCGCUGAAAUGAAUGAACUUAAGUUGCCAUGGGCAAUAAGUUCAAAGGGUCUACUCUGAGUAUGACGAAGAUUGGCUGCAACCCAUUAUUCGUGUCAUUUGCAGUUGUGUGAUUUGUAAAGCUGUCACCAGAUUAAAAGAAAUAGUUGAUUAACUAUAUGAGCGUCAGUCAAUGAGCCAAUAAAUUUUGCAUAAAUUCACAUAUGAGUUAAAAUAUUAUUCUUAUUAUUUAUUGAAUUUAUAUACCAUCUCACAGAAUAGUAGCCCCAAAGCAAGAAACACCAUACUUUAGAUUUUAUAAAGAAAUUAAAUAUAAUCUCAGAUCUUUCCACUCUGUUCCAUCUCUCUCUGUUGGGACCCACAGCCUGGAACAUGACUCCUUUUUCUCUCUCAGGUCCCAAUGUCCAUGUCUUCACUGUCCUUCCUCUGCCUCCCACUUUCAUUCCACUCUGCUCACCUUCCAGACACACCUACUGCCACUCCCAUUCCUCACACAGGGUUCUGACUGACUGUUGUCAGUUCAACAGUGUGUGAACACACAUGGUCAAACACUCAUGGCCUCCUCUUCUCACAUGCUUGACAUCAAAGAAGGCUUCCCAUGAUUUGAUCCCGGUUUGUAAUCCUGGUUUGUAUGGAGCUGAAGUCGGUUUGUCAAAACGUUUCAAAGUCAGGGCAAAACUGUACUUUAUUAACAAACCAGGAAGUUUAUUGGGCACAUGAGAAAAGGAGGGAAGGAGAUGAAGAGGAGAGGAUGUUUGAAUUUAUUGCUCAUUCCCACUUCCACACUCACUCAGGGUUCCUGUUCACUUGGAUCAGGCCACACUAAGCGUGUGGCAAGGCAGCAUGGCUUGCGGACGCAUUCCCAUUGCCUUCACACAUUCACUGAAUGCUUAUAAGAGGGUCAUCUGUACAUGGGUUCAUCCUUUUAGCUAAGAGCUUGCAGGUACGCCUAGCCUAGCUUCUUUGCGUUCCAUUGUUCUGUGAGUCCAAAUCAUUUUUGGAUUUUAUUUUAUUUUUAAUCACAGAAAACGAGGGGAAUUAUUAACUCUGCCUUGCAUUUCACACGAUAAAAUGGUGAUGCGCCCAAAUAUGGCAGGCCUUAAACAAUAGUUUUCAUACCUCCCUUUGCGUUCUUAGCUAUUUCAUAAGGCAAAUGUUGACAAAUAGGCAACUAAGGCCAUAGCGAGGGGGCUGCCAACCAAACGGGCCCUGACAUAAGUAAGAACAAAUGGUGUAUUAUUUUCCAAACGGCUUAUACCAGGACAAUAAAAAUUGUUGCAUAUGAUUCUCAUAUUUGCUGCUUGCUGUUAGGUUAUGCAAUUCCCCCCUCCUCUUUUCUGACCAUAGAGACGCCCAGAGCUGCUUUACACCGAACCAAUCCAUUGGUCCAUCUGCCUUCUUAUUGUCUACAUCAAGGAUGGAGAAAUAUUUUUAGCCCAAGGACAAAAUUUCCGCAUGAAUGACUUUCCAGGGCCCACACACCAGUGGUGGGCUGGACCAGAUGCAAAAAGGACAAUUGGAAACAAUAUGCAGGUCCUAAACAAGUAUUGAGGAGUCUUAGUGGUUGUUCUGCUCUUCACACAGCUGGAGAGAAAGGUUAACUUCUCCAGGAAUUUCCAAUCUGUACUUGGUUUUUUUUUAAUAUUUUCAUGCACCCAACUGGUGUCCUCCAGAUGUGGCUGGCCUUCCAGUUCGCCUCCAGCCCUGGCAAGCAUGCCCAAUUGUCAGAAAUCUGCUCCAGAAGGUUGAGGGACCCUCCAGAUCACAUCUGGAGGGGAUAGUAUAAGAGGAGAGGAACAUGGACCAAUGGAGCCCCGCUUUCUGCAACAUUGGAUGCAACCUUAUAAAAGGCAAGCAUGCUGAUAAAUUGUUUCUGGUUCAUCACAAGGGUGCCUCAAUAUGUUUUGCAGCUCUCACCGCACGGUACUAUAAUCUUUGGAUCAGGCCCCAAGGAGGAAGCUUGACACAGAAGGAUCAGUGUACAUUCUCAGAUUACUGACUGAAUGGGGUCACAGUAUGCAUGGGUACUUAGCAAAGAAGCCACAGCAUUUUCCACUGGCUGCGACUUCCAAACAGAACACAACUUGCACACUGUGCCGCGGACUCUGGAGCAAAACACUCCUGUGACCACUUUAAAUGCAGAGGUGUCUUUUUGCGUGAGGAAAAGGGAAAGUGUGGGCACAAACUACUCUGGACUUCAAAGAGUCAGCUUUGACUGAAGCAGAGGCGGCAAGGCCCGGCGGUUAGGUCCCUGACUGCAUAUCAACAACAGUACCAUAAAUCACAUUUACUUCCAAACCUAAUACCUAGCAUUUAGAGUCAAGAGACGUUUAGAGAGCUGCCUUCAAGACAUUGCAUAAUUUAUUGUUCCCUGAUUUAUUCUCCAUAUGACAAGUAAAAAAGUUGAAGUACUGUCGGUAGCUAUUUUGAUUUCUCUUCAGAUCCAUUUGACAUCUGUUAUCCAAGUAAUGUUAUCUUGGUGGAUAACAAGAUUUGCUCCGAUUUCUUGCAUCGUUCCCUCCCCCUUUAUUUUUUAGGGAAUGACAAUUAAAUAGAAUUAAAUUGCAGCGUUCUGCUGUACAUUUAAAUGUAAACAGGGCAGGACUGCAGUAUAAAGAUGUAUUACUGAUGAGGUACACAAAGCUCUGUAACAGAAACUAGUUUUGAUCUACUGUUUAUAGUAGAGCAGUGAGAUGUCUACCAAAUGAGGACAACGUCUGAAAUGUGUUUGCCAUUUACAGCUUGAACUUUCAAACAUGCGAAGAGGAGGGAGAGAAUUGGCCCCUUUGCUGCUGAUGACACAGUCAUUCCUAAUUUUAUGGUGAGAAUGCCUUUUCCUUGCUAUUGUUCAUAAGGUGAGCAAAACCAAUUCAGAACAUUUUCUGAAUUCCAGGUGGCACCCUCUACCUCCAUUCCACAUGCUAAAGCCAACCAGACUCACCGUUGACUCUUACUUCAUCACUGCAUACCCCCCAAUAUUCCUCAGAUGAAAACAGGGCCAUUCUAUUCUACAUCAGUAUCACUGCUGGGGGGUGAGGGCUUUUUAAAAAAAUAUAUUUUAAGAUAUUUAUUAAAGUGUUUAUGAUACGACCAAGUCCCCUUGCCGAAGUCCAGCUAGCUCCAGCACCCAACCUUGACCCCCAUAACCUCCUUGCCCCACCACCCUUCAAACUCCAGUCCUCCACAGACCUGUCUGCACCCUGCCAGCUACACCCUUCCCCACCCCCCCACCCCAGGGUCUGCUUCUCCAGCCGCCACCUUCUCCUGAAGCCUGACUUGGCUUAUUUUCUCCUCCUUGUUCUUAUUUAGCACAACCAACUGGCUGGGGGCCUGCCAGGCUGGAGAGUCGCAGCCUCCCAAGGUGGGGAUGGUAACCCUGUUGCCUAAUUCCCUCUUCCUUCUCCUCCUCUUCCUACUACUCCUCCUGCUGCUAUGCCCAUAGCUGUCAACUUUUCCCUUUUCUUGCGAGGAAUCCUAUUCGGAAUAAGGGAAUUUCCCUUAAAAAAAGGGAAAUGUAGACAGCUAUGGCUAUGCCACCGGCCGGCCAGCCCAUCAGCCUGCCUGCCUGGCUCCCUCUCUCAGACCCAGCCCAAGACUCUUCCCUCAGUCAGCAAUUAUCUCUUCUCCCUGCUUCUACCAGUGUGCAGCCAUUUCCGGUUACCAUACCUUAACAAAGAUGGGAAUUCAAGACUCUGCAUGAGAAGCCAUGAUGGCUUAAGGGUUUCCGUGAUGUUCCCAGCAUUUUCAGGGCAGUUGAAGACUAUGUCACUGCACUAGGGGACACAGUGCAGGCUAUAUUAGAGCUUUUGGGGGAAAAGUUGUUGAGAGAUGUUUUUUGAGUUAUUUUAAAGGAAAUUCACCAAAACCUGCACUUAGAGCAAUUUCGGCCCAGACACUGUUUCUGACAGCCGAAUCCCAGAAAUUUCCAGACAUAUGGCAACCAUAGGCGAUAUGGCACUCUUCUCUGUCUUACAACUCCUCCCCACUGCAGCCAUCUCUGUCUAAUGGUAGGGCCAGCCCUUGAGGUAAGACAUGGGGGAGGGGGAGGCUUCUCUCAAGGUGAGAGGUCCUCCCAAAUGUUUACUACAUUCCCCUUCUUAACAGGUUGUUUUCUUGCCUGCACUGAUGAAGGGAUCCCGGAUCCAAGAUAGGACAGAGCCAUGCUUCAGCUAGAAGAUGCCUGUAACCUUGUUACAGUAAUUCUGAUCGGAGAAACUCUGUGGGUAGCCUUAUUUUCAAUUGAUUGUCAAACCUCUUUUAAAAAUCUAUCCUGUUCUUGCACUGGCAGUAUUCUUACAGAUGCAUGGCUAGAUACAGUUAGCAACAGACUUAUUUCAGUACAAUAAUCAGUGACUAAGAACUUGACUGGUUGUUUGCAGUUUUACAACCUUCCACAGUUUUAUAUUGGGCCAACUUGGAGAUACAAUCUUUUCCCAUUUGGCUUUAUUUCACUUUCCAAGCAUUAAAAACUGCUUUUCUGCACUCCACAAAGUUUCUCUUUUGCCAAGUCAUGCUGCACUAUUCAGCUUUUUAAAAACAGCAUUUUACCCUUUAAAAAUAAGGGUGCCAUCAAAAAACACCACUAUGGUACCCCAGUUGUGGAGUUUCUUCCCAGUAGAGAUACAAUUGUGCCCUCAUGGGAUUAUUAUUAUUAUUAUUAUUAUUAUUUCUUCUUCAGGCCUUUGGAGAUUACUGAGCUGGCUGCUGGUUGUUCCCUGUUGAACUACUUACUGCUCUUUACUGCUUAACCGAUGGUUUCGUGAUUAUAUGCCGUAUUUUAUUUUAAAUUCUGGAGGUCUUGGAGUUGAAGAAUGUUUUUAAAAUGCAAUGUAUUAAAUAAAUAAAACUUAAGGCGUCCAGGGUCCAUCUAUGGCCCUCUCUCCUCGCUCUCAGUGUUCAGAACACUGGAACCAAAAGGAUUUGGUCCCUGUGCAAUGUCUAUUUUUACUGGAAUUGUUGUGAAAAAGCAGUUAAUCAUAUUUGACAUAUGGGUGGUUUUUUUCUUCACAUCUCAGAGAAAUUCUGUUCAGAGACAAAUGGGGGGAUUGUUGGCUGCCUUUUAGUAUCACUCAAAAGAAAUCCAAGUGCAAAGGUGUGAUUCAUAAUCAGUGAGAAGGCACCAUGAGGUAUGGAGGGGAAAUACUUUUUUUAAAAGUUUGAGGAGAAAGACUUGACAGAAGAACAAAAGGUCCCUCAGACACUACACAGAAGAAAAGGGUGGAAAGAAAAAGGUCACAGACAUGAGCCAAAGUUAGGCGGACAAGCAGGUUCAGGAAGAUACUCAGAUGAGGGAAAAUAGGCUUCAGUUUCAUAAUACUGAAAGCCUCGAGGAAUAGCAAAGAUUAGGGUCUCUCCCUUUUUCUUUUUCUGGUUAAGAUUUUAUCACCUUUGAAACGCGCUGGGAACCAGAGUAGGUGUUUCCCCAAUUGCUCUUCAACUUGAAAAUAGCAAGUCAGAACCAGACAAAAGCAUGGGUUUCAAAUGCCUGGCAAGGCCCUCAGAAAUUAUCCUGUUUUAAAGAAACAUAACACAAAUGUUCUUGACGAUAACCAAGAGUAGAUUUUCUAGGGAAAUGACCAACUGGUGUUUACAAUACCACACUGUGUUCCUAUAGCUUCAGCAAAUGCACAAUAGAUUUUAUUUCAAGCAUGUCUGAAAGGCUCAUGUUUUAGGAAGCCCUG
This is a non-coding RNA of Podarcis lilfordi (Lilford's wall lizard), 30693 nucleotides long. The record is from the annotation of a GenBank genome assembly. NCBI's taxonomy places the organism in Eukaryota, Metazoa, Chordata, Lepidosauria, Squamata, Lacertidae.